Molecule: ribosomal RNA, 429 nt
Filed under: Pseudomonadota bacterium
Lineage: Bacteria; Pseudomonadati; Pseudomonadota
Description: Proteobacteria bacterium partial 16S ribosomal RNA
Rfam family: Bacterial small subunit ribosomal RNA
Source: RNAcentral
UGGGGAAUAUUGGACAAUGGGCGAAAGCCUGAUCCAGCCAUGCCGCGUGUGUGAAGAAGGUCUUCGGAUUGUAAAGCACUUUAAGUUGGGAGGAAGGGCAGUAAGCGAAUACCUUGCUGUUUUGACGUUACCGACAGAAUAAGCACCGGCUAACUCUGUGCCAGCAGCCGCGGUAUUACAGAGGGUGCAAGCGUUAAUCGGAAUUACUGGGCGUAAAGCGCGCGUAGGUGGUUCGUUAAGUUGAAUGUGAAAGCCCCGGGCUCAACCUGGGAACUGCAUCCAAAGCUGGCGAGCUAGAGUAGGGCAGAGGGUGGUGGAAUUUCCUGUGUAGCGGGGAAAUGCGUAGAUAUAGGAAGGAACACCAGUGGCGAAGGAGACCACCUGGGCUCAUACUGACACUGAGGUGCGAAAGCGUGGGGAGCAAACAGG